Long non-coding RNA from Cyprinus carpio (common carp), 1629 nucleotides. The record is from Ensembl. NCBI's taxonomy places the organism in Eukaryota, Metazoa, Chordata, Actinopteri, Cypriniformes, Cyprinidae.
AACUUGACUGAAAAGUUGUCACAAAAAGAACCAUAUAUGUCUAAAGCAGGUAAUCAGAUUGUUUGCAAUAUUCUUUUUUUUUAUUAUUAUUCUAUUUUUAUAUAUAUUUUUUUAGAUUAAACAUCAUAACCUUAUUAUUUGCCUUAAACAGCACGGGUGGACAUGCUUACAUUGCAUGCAAUGGGGUGGAACCACAAAAAACAUCUCUCUCUACAUCAGUCACUUUCAACAAGAUAUGUGAAGGUAAGUCUCCUAUUAAUUGUUUUGUGUAUCCUUUUGUUGUGUGCACUAGGCCUGUUUUUAAUCAUACUAAGUCCUGAUUAUUGUAUAACACUGUUCAUCAGACUUGUCAGAGACUCCCGGAUGAAACGGCAAGGCUAGCUGAACUAAAAGCAGAGUUAAUUGCACAGAUGAAGUGGUGUCACAGUGGCUUUCUGAUGUGAAGGAAUGGGCAGCUGGCGGUAAGCAUGACCAGAUGAAAGAAACAGCAAAUAUUAUUUUCCACUACUGUCUGAAAUUUAAGUUUGAUAUUAAAGAGCAGCUUAAGAUAAUAGCCUGAUCAUCUAUGUCAGGGGUGGUGAACAUCGGUCCUGGAGAGCCUGCUUCAACCCUAAUUAAACACACCUGAACAAGCUAAUCAAGGUCUGACCAGUUACUAGAAAGAUACAGGCAGGUGAGUUUUAAUUAGGUUUGGAGCUGAACUUUGCAGGGCUGCAGCUCGCCACCCCUGAUCUAUGUGUUACAGCAAACUACAAGUCAUCAUCAGAUGUUGUGGCACAUUUAUGUUUGGUAUUUCAGUUUCCCUGCAGGAAGUGCACAUACCAAGUUCAAUGACGUAUUAAUGAAGGAUUAAAAGGGGUUUUAUAUACAAAUACAAAUUCAAACACUGAAAUGGUUAUGUGUUGUUUUAACAGUGAAUUUGUUUUCACUAUUACUUUUACAGAGACACCAGAUACAUCUCAUGCCAGUCAAGGCACCACACACAGAGGACUUCAGCAGUCAAUUGAGGGGCUUUACCUUAGUGUGAGGCAGCGGAAGCAAACCCUUUAUCGUCAGAAUGAAGACUGUCAGAGGUGUCAGAAAGGUUGCAGGUGGUUCUCCAACAGUACAAGACUGCUUUAGGCCCUGAGGCCUCUGCCCUACAUCUUGAAGCAGAAGAUCAAAGAGACUUCAGUAGUCCAGACACCAGUGAGAAUGAAGAAGAAAACACAAUUUAGGUAAUUAAUUUAUUCAUAUGUAUGUUUGUUUGUUUUCAAAAAUAGACCAGGGGUGUUCCAUCAAGGUGGAUAAAGGAAAAGCCUGGCUUAGGAACAUUGCAGGGAAAAGUUGCAGCAACGUCAACUGGCCCGUCUCAGCUCAACUCAAAGCGGGCUGAUGCCGUCACUGCAACUCAGCUUGUCUAUUUGGCAGAUGCUGAUUUUAGAAUAUAAGGCAUGGCACCUGUUUCAACAGCCAGUCAGCUUGUAGCAAAGUCAGCUGGUCAAGUUUCUAAACUUUCGCCUGGUUGAAGUUUUGGAUGGAGGAAAGACAGGAUCAAUUCAUAGAUUUGUUUGAGGAACCACUGUGUCUGCAUGACACAAGCCUUAAAAUUUACUCAGCUCUUCAGGGCUGCUUAUGUACUCCAUGCAC